UGGGGAAUUUUGGACAAUGGGCGCAAGCCUGAUCCAGCCAUGCCGCGUGAGUGAAGAAGGCCUUCGGGUUGUAAAGCUCUUUCGGCGGGGACGAAAUGGUUCGUGCCAAUACCACGGACUGAUGACGGUACCUGAAGAAGAGGCACCGGCUAACUACGUGCCAGCAGCCGCGGUAAUACGUAGGGUGCAGGCGUUAAUCGGAAUUACUGGGCGUAAAGCGUGCGCAGGCGGUUUGUUAAGACAGAUGUGAAAUCCCCGGGCUUAACCUGGGAACUGCGUUUGUAACUGGCAGACUGGAGUGUGGCAGAGGGGGGUGGAAUUCCAAGUGUAGCAGUGAAAUGCGUAGAUAUUUGGAGGAACACCGAUGGCGAAGGCAGCCCCCUGGGCUAACACUGACGCUCAUGCACGAAAGCGUGGGGAGCAAACAGGAUUAGAUACCCGUGUAGUCCCUGAGCGGGCUGGCAAGGCGCAU
Molecule: ribosomal RNA, 472 nt
Filed under: uncultured bacterium
Lineage: Bacteria
Description: bacterial SSU rRNA
Rfam family: Bacterial small subunit ribosomal RNA
Source: RNAcentral